UUCGCACACAUCCCUCUCUUCCGCCGCCAGCUAUCUUUCUCAACCUAAGGAAUUCACAGGAUUUGUGGAAUCCCAUUUCCAAAUCAUUCCUUCUCAACUAUAACGGCAUCAGAGGAAGUAGAAGUAGAUCAAAUUAUUUUCUCAAGGAUACAUUUUAGUGGAUUGGCGGUUCGAUUAUCCUAUCAAUUUGUAAUCCUUGUUCACUUAUCGGGAUGGGCGGCAUUGGAAAUAUUACGUUUAUCAUGUGAGACGACAAUCAUCGGAAAGACAACUCUUGCCAUAAGGGAUCGACGAUCUACCAUUCUCAAUUGCCGAACUACAAGUAUCCUAGCCCACGGGAAUUCUUCGUCUGUGUUGACACGGCAACAGCUCCGGUGACAUGUGUUCUACGAGGCGAGCGGGUCAAGCGGCAGGAGAGUCUUCCGGAGCGAAACGUCUACGAAAAGGGAAAUCUGUAGACGAUGGGGAGUCGAAUGGGAAGAGGACAAGGCUGGCAGCAAAGCCUUCAACAGCUGUUGUCGGCGUCCCUGUACCAGUAAAGAGACCUCAACUGAGGAUCAAGAGGACCACUCGUUUUUUCCAGCGCAUCCUGAAGUCGUUGAACGAAAGGCAGAAGACUGCUGUUAGGCAGCUCGGCUUCGGUGGACUACUCGACUAUGAUGUGGCAUCUGUUCCGGGAACAUUAGCGUAUUGGCUAUUAGAGCAUUUUGACCACCGACGGUGCAGUCUUAUGCUUCCUAACGGUGUUGAGGUAGUUGUUGGCACGAAGGACGCUGAGCUAAUUUUUGGUUUCCCAAAUGGUGGGAUUACAAUUGAUCGAUGCGACAGAAACACAUGCAUGAAAUACCUGGAAACCGUUCCACUUGAUGAGGAGGCUGAUGUGAAUGCUAUGCAGACCAAGGUCCUAGAAACGAAGCUGCUACAAGAAACUGGGGGGCGCUCUUUUUAAGAAAAUAUUCCUGUUACUGCUGGAAACGGCUCUCAUUGAGACCUCCCCUUGUGGCUAUGUGAGACCCCGGAUUGUUGACAUUCUCGGAGAUUUACAGAAGGUAAAGAAGCACAAUUGGUGUAAGUAUUUGCUAGACAAUCUGUUGCGGACGCACGGGCUAUGGAAGAAUAACAAAUCGAAGGUUUUCAGCGGGCCAGUAGUUUUCCUAGUGUCCUUCUACGUCGAUCGAGUAGUGCAUUGCAGGAGAUGUGUGGCACGUGCCAUUCCUAGAAUAAAGGGGUGGACGACCGAACUAUUGAAAGAGAGAGAGGAAGUUGAAAUGAAAGAAGCUGAUUUUGGGCUUGGACGAGUGACUUCACAGCUGGAUGAGAAUGAAAUGGGUGGUGCAGAAAUGACAACAGAAGUGCAAAGGCCAGCUGAUGAAGAUGUUGCUGAUGCGCAAGAUACUGAAGACUUUGUUGAACCGCCACCAACUGACCAUGGUGAACCGUGGUCCACUAAAGAUGUUGUCGAAGAGAUAUAUACGUCGGAUGAAGUGGUGUAUAUGAGGGGUGUUUGGGGGGCAACCAAGCACAUAGGCGAUGGUCUGAAGAUGCUUGCCAAGGAAUUAAAUAAAGCUCCGCCAGAAAUCGGGAAGAAGGACAGCUUUAGAAUAACUUCGUCCAAAGUUUCAAACACCUGGCCAAUGUAAGGCUUCAUGUCGGGUCUUCAAUCUGGGAUAAGUGCAUCUAUAAACAAAAGAAAUAAGUGUCCAAAUGUCAUCACAGAAUGUCAGUGACCGAAUUGGCAGAUUGUCAUCGCAAACUAUAUCAGAUAAACACAUUGCUGGUA
Salvia splendens (bonfire salvia) is the source of this 1780-nucleotide RNA transcript. RefSeq lists it as uncharacterized. The record is from RefSeq and is a predicted model, not a curated record. The transcript is spliced from 4 exons. NCBI's taxonomy places the organism in Eukaryota, Viridiplantae, Streptophyta, Magnoliopsida, Lamiales, Lamiaceae.